UACGAAGGGGGCUAGCGUUGCUCGGAAUCACUGGGCGUAAAGCGCACGUAGGCGGAUUGUUAAGUCAGAGGUGAAAUCCCGGAGCUCAACUUCGGAACUGCCUUUGAUACUGGCAAUCUAGAGUCCGGAAGAGGUUAGUGGAAUUCCCAGUGUAGAGGUGAAAUUCGUAGAUAUUGGGAAGAACACCAGUGGCGAAGGCGGCUAACUGGUCCGGUACUGACGCUGAGGUGCGAAGGCGUGGGGAGCAAACAGG
Molecule: ribosomal RNA, 253 nt
Filed under: uncultured bacterium
Lineage: Bacteria
Description: partial 16S ribosomal RNA
Rfam family: Bacterial small subunit ribosomal RNA
Source: RNAcentral